GGUCAAGCGAAUAAGUGCAUGUGGUGGAUGCCUUGGCGAUCACAGGCGAUGAAGGACGUAGUAGCUUGCGAAAAGCUGCGGGGAGCUGGCAAACGAGCUUUGAUCCGCAGAUGUCCGAAUGGGGAAACCCGGCCCGUAUGGGUCAUCCCUUGCUGAAUACAUAGGCAAGGGAGGCGAACGCAGUGAACUGAAACAUCUAAGUAGCUGCAGGAAAAGAAAUCAACCGAGAUUCCCAGAGUAGUGGCGAGCGAAAUGGGAACAGCCUUGUACUCUUUAGCAGUAUUGUUAGCGGAACGGAAUGGAAAGUCCGGCCAUAGUGGGUGAUAGCCCCGUACGCGAAAACAGUAUUGUGGAACUAGGUGUACGACAAGUAGGGCGGGACACGUGAAAUCCUGUCUGAAGAUGGGGGGACCAUCCUCCAAGGCUAAAUACUCGUGAUCGACCGAUAGUGAACCAGUACCGUGAGGGAAAGGCGAAAAGAACCCCGGGAGGGGAGUGAAAUAGAUCCUGAAACCGCAUGCAUACAAACAGUCGGAGCCUGGAAACGGGUGACGGCGUACCUUUUGUAUAAUGGGUCAGCGACUUACAUUCAGUGGCAAGCUUAACCGAUUAGGGAAGGCGUAGCGAAAGCGAGUCCGAAUAGGGCGUUCAGUCGCUGGGUGUAGACCCGAAACCAAGUGAUCUAUCCAUGGCCAGGUUGAAGGUGCGGUAACACGUACUGGAGGACCGAACCCACUAACGUUGAAAAGUUAGGGGAUGAGCUGUGGAUAGGGGUGAAAGGCUAAACAAACUUGGAAAUAGCUGGUUCUCUCCGAAAACUAUUUAGGUAGUGCCUCGUGUCUCACCUUCGGGGGUAGAGCACUGUCAUGGUUGGGGGGUCUAUUGCUGAUUACCCCGCCAUAGCAAACUCCGAAUACCGAAGAGUGCAAUCACGGGAGACAGACAUCGGGUGCUAACGUCCGGUGUCAAGAGGGAAACAACCCAGACCGCCAGCUAAGGUCCCUAAGAUUGGCUAAGUGGGAAACGAAGUGGGAAGGCUAAAACAGUCAGGAGGUUGGCUUAGAAGCAGCCACCCUUUAAAGAAAGCGUAAUAGCUCACUGAUCGAGUCGUCCUGCGCGGAAGAUGUAACGGGGCUAAGCCAGUCACCGAAGCUGCGGAUGCACGUAAGUGCAUGGUAGGAGAGCGUUCUGUAAGCCUGUGAAGGUGUCUUGUAAAGGAUGCUGGAGGUAUCAGAAGUGCGAAUGCUGACAUGAGUAGCGAUAAAGGGGGUGAAAGGCCCCCUCGCCGUAAGCCCAAGGUUUCCUACGCAACGUUCAUCGGCGUAGGGUGAGUCGGCCCCUAAGGCGAGGCAGAGAUGCGUAGCUGAUGGGAAGCAGGUUAAUAUUCCUGCACCGUCGUAUGAUGCGAUGGGGGGACGGAUCGCGGAAGGUUGUCCGGGUGUUGGAAGUCCCGGUCCCUACAUUGGAGAUGGCACUUAGGCAAAUCCGGGUGCGUGAUUCAAGGGUGUGGGGCGAGCGACGUUAGGUCGCGAAGCAAUUGGAAGUGGUUCCAAGAAAAGCCUCUAAGCUUCAGUCAUACGAGACCGUACCGCAAACCGACACAGGUGGGCGAGAUGAGUAUUCUAAGGCGCUUGAGAGAACUCGGGAGAAGGAACUCGGCAAAUUGGUACCGUAACUUCGGGAUAAGGUACGCCCUUGUAGUUUGACUGGCUCGCGCCAGAAGGAUGAAGGGGUUGCAAUAAAAUGGUGGCUGCGACUGUUUAAUAAAAACACAGCACUCUGCAAACACGAAAGUGGACGUAUAGGGUGUGACGCCUGCCCGGUGCCGGAAGAUUAAAUGAUGGGGUGCAAGCUCUUGAUUGAAGUCCCGGUAAACGGCGGCCGUAACUAUAACGGUCCUAAGGUAGCGAAAUUCCUUGUCGGGUAAGUUCCGACCUGCACGAAUGGCGUAACGAUGGCCACACUGUCUCCUCCCGAGACUCAGCGAAGUUGAAGUGUUUGUGAUGAUGCAAUCUCCCCGCGGCUAGACGGAAAGACCCCAUGAACCUUUACUGUAGCUUUGCAUUGGACUUUGAACCGAUCUGUGUAGGAUAGGUGGGAGGCUUUGAAACCGGGACGCUAGUUUCGGUGGAGCCGACCUUGAAAUACCACCCUGGUUUGUUUGAGGUUCUAACCUUGGCCCGUGAAUCCGGGUCGGGGACAGUGCAUGGUAGGCAGUUUGACUGGGGCGGUCUCCUCCCAAAGUGUAACGGAGGAGUUCGAAGGUACGCUUGGUACGGUCGGACAUCGUACCUAAAGUGCAAUGGCAAAAGCGUGCUUAACUGCGAGACCGACAAGUCGAGCAGGUGCGAAAGCAGGACAUAGUGAUCCGGUGGUUCUGUAUGGAAGGGCCAUCGCUCAACGGAUAAAAGGUACUCUGGGGAUAACAGGCUGAUACCGCCCAAGAGUUCAUAUCGACGGCGGUGUUUGGCACCUCGAUGUCGGCUCAUCUCAUCCUGGGGCUGUAGCCGGUCCCAAGGGUAUGGCUGUUCGCCAUUUAAAGAGGUACGUGAGCUGGGUUUAAAACGUCGUGAGACAGUUUGGUCCCUAUCUGCCGUGGGCGUUGGAAUCUUGACGGGGGCUGCUCCUAGUACGAGAGGACCGGAGUGGACGUACCGCUGGUGUACCUGUUGUCUCGCCAGAGGCAUCGCAGGGUAGCUAUGUACGGAAGAGAUAACCGCUGAAAGCAUCUAAGCGGGAAACUCGCCUGAAGAUGAGGAUUCCCUGGAGACUUGAUCUCCCUGAAGGGUCGUUCGAGACCAGGACGUUGAUAGGCUGGGUGUGGAAGCGCAGUAAUGUGUUCAGCUAACCAGUACUAAUUGCCCGUGCGGCUUGAUCCU
RNAcentral lists this ribosomal RNA (2879 nucleotides) under Ralstonia solanacearum. RNAcentral describes it as "23S ribosomal RNA". It matches the Rfam family "Bacterial large subunit ribosomal RNA". Lineage: Bacteria; Pseudomonadati; Pseudomonadota; Betaproteobacteria; Burkholderiales; Burkholderiaceae. RNAcentral also lists the same sequence under 2 other names. The record is from RNAcentral.